Molecule: transfer RNA, 75 nt
Filed under: Cebuella niveiventris
Lineage: Eukaryota; Metazoa; Chordata; Mammalia; Primates; Cebidae
Description: tRNA-Leu
Rfam family: tRNA
About the family: Transfer RNA (tRNA) molecules are approximately 80 nucleotides in length. Their secondary structure includes four short double-helical elements and three loops (D, anti-codon, and T loops). Further hydrogen bonds mediate the characteristic L-shaped molecular structure. tRNAs have two regions of fundamental functional importance: the anti-codon, which is responsible for specific mRNA codon recognition, and the 3' end, to which the tRNAs corresponding amino acid is attached (by aminoacyl-tRNA synthetases). tRNAs cope with the degeneracy of the genetic code in two manners: having more than one tRNA (with a specific anti-codon) for a particular amino acid; and 'wobble' base-pairing, i.e. permitting non-standard base-pairing at the 3rd anti-codon position.
Source: RNAcentral
GUUAAGAUGGCAGAGCCCGGCAAUUGCGUAAAACUUAAAACUUUAUAACCAGAGGUUCAACUCCUCUUCUUAACA